RNAcentral lists this ribosomal RNA (321 nucleotides) under Metapseudomonas boanensis. RNAcentral describes it as "Pseudomonas boanensis partial 16S ribosomal RNA". It matches the Rfam family "Bacterial small subunit ribosomal RNA", at positions 1138 to 1471 of the family's 1533-position model. The record is from RNAcentral. Lineage: Bacteria; Pseudomonadati; Pseudomonadota; Gammaproteobacteria; Pseudomonadales; Pseudomonadaceae.
UUUUUUUUAUUUUUUUUUUAGGUGAGGAUGGUGUCAAGUCAUCAUGGCCCUUACGGCCAGGGCUACACACGUGCUACAAUGGUCGGUACAAAGGGUUGCCAAGCCGCGAGGUGGAGCUAAUCCCAUAAAACCGAUCGUAGUCCGGAUCGCAGUCUGCAACUCGACUGCGUGAAGUCGGAAUCGCUAGUAAUCGUGAAUCAGAAUGUCACGGUGAAUACGUUCCCGGGCCUUGUACACACCGCCCGUCACACCAUGGGAGUGGGUUGCUCCAGAAGUAGCUAGUCUAACCGCAAGGGGGACGGUUACCACGGAAGUAUUCCG